Molecule: ribosomal RNA, 654 nt
Filed under: Acinetobacter baumannii 213697
Lineage: Bacteria; Pseudomonadati; Pseudomonadota; Gammaproteobacteria; Moraxellales; Moraxellaceae
Description: bacterial LSU rRNA
Rfam family: Bacterial large subunit ribosomal RNA
Source: RNAcentral
UCAAGUAAUUAAGUGCAUGUGGUGGAUGCCUUGGCAGUCAGAGGCGAUGAAAGACGUGAUAGCCUGCGAAAAGCUCCGGGGAGGCGGCAAAUAUCCUUUGAUCCGGAGAUGUCUGAAUGGGGGAACCCACCUACUUUAAGGUAGGUAUUGCAACAUGAAUACAUAGUGUUGCAAGGCGAACGAGGGGAAGUGAAACAUCUCAGUACCCUUAGGAAAAGAAAUCAAUUGAGAUUCCCUCAGUAGCGGCGAGCGAACGGGGAUCAGCCCAUUAAGUUAUGUGUGUUUUAGUGGAACGCUCUGGGAAGUGCGAACGUAGAGGGUGAUAUUCCCGUACACGAAAGGGCACACAUAAUGAUGACGAGUAGGGCGAGGCACGUGAAACCUUGUCUGAAUAUGGGGGGACCAUCCUCCAAGGCUAAAUACUCCUGACUGACCGAUAGUGAACCAGUACCGUGAGGGAAAGGCGAAAAGAACCCCUGUGAGGGGAGUGAAAUAGAUCCUGAAACCGCAUGCAUACAAGCAGUGGGAGCACCUUCGUGGUGUGACUGCGUACCUUUUGUAUAAUGGGUCAGCGACUUAUAUUCAGUAGCGAGGUUAACCGUAUAGGGGAGCCGUAGAGAAAUCGAGUCUUAAUAGGGCGUUUAGUUGCUGGGU